AGCGUAUAUUAAAGUUGUUGCAGUUAAAAAGCUCGUAGUUGAAUUUCGGGGUCAGUAGGUCGGUCGUGCCACUGGUAUGAACUGGUUUUACUGAUUCCUCCCUCUUGAAGAACUGUAAUGCCAUUAAUUUGGUGUUGCAGGGAAUCAGGACUGUUACUUUGAAAAAAUUAGAGUGUUUAAAGCAGGCUUAGGCUUGAAUACAUUAGCAUGGAAUAAUGAAAUAGGACGUUUGAACCUAUUUUGUUGGUUUCUAGGAUCGACGUAAUGAUUAAUAGGGAUAGUUGGGGGCAUUAGUAUUCAAUUGUCAGAGGUGAAAUUCUUGGAUUUAUUGAAGACUAACUACUGCGAAAGCAUUUGCCAAGGAUGUUUUCAUUAAUCAAGAACGAAAGUUAGGGGAUCGAAGACGAUCAGAUACCGUCGUAGUCUUAACCAUAAACUAUGCCGACUAGGGAUCGGAUGAUGUUAAUUUUUUAAUGACUCAUUC
RNAcentral lists this ribosomal RNA (484 nucleotides) under uncultured Glomeromycotina. Its description in RNAcentral is "SSU rRNA". It matches the Rfam family "Eukaryotic small subunit ribosomal RNA", at positions 596 to 1081 of the family's 1831-position model. The record is from RNAcentral. Lineage: Eukaryota; Fungi; Glomeromycota.